This 299-nucleotide long non-coding RNA is filed under the name Durio zibethinus. RNAcentral's name for it is "long non-coding RNA (DZIB_LNC002040)". Lineage: Eukaryota; Viridiplantae; Streptophyta; Magnoliopsida; Malvales; Malvaceae. The record is from RNAcentral.
UGCAAAUGUUGGCCAAUUAAUUCCUGUUCAAUGUAUGGUACUCAAGUUUCUCAAGCUCUUUUCUUUCUUGGGUGUCAAGCCCUUUGAUUCUUCAAGGAUCCAAUUGCACUGCUCUUCUAAGAUCGAACCAGUGUAGCUCUCAAUUAUCCUUUCCACUCACAUUCUUUCCUUGUUCAGUUUCUCAAUACUUUGGAAUAAGCUUCAUCAAUCGAUCAUCCCUUGACCAUCAUUCAAUGAAUUUCUCAGCACUAGCAAAUUUCAAAACAAAUUUCAUCCACCAUCACUGGGUCCUUAUCUCA